This 1552-nucleotide ribosomal RNA is filed under the name Salmonella enterica subsp. enterica serovar Enteritidis. RNAcentral's name for it is "bacterial SSU rRNA". It matches the Rfam family "Bacterial small subunit ribosomal RNA". The record is from RNAcentral. Lineage: Bacteria; Pseudomonadati; Pseudomonadota; Gammaproteobacteria; Enterobacterales; Enterobacteriaceae.
UUAAAUUGAAGAGUUUGAUCAUGGCUCAGAUUGAACGCUGGCGGCAGGCCUAACACAUGCAAGUCGAACGGUAACAGGAAGCAGCUUGCUGCUUCGCUGACGAGUGGCGGACGGGUGAGUAAUGUCUGGGAAACUGCCUGAUGGAGGGGGAUAACUACUGGAAACGGUGGCUAAUACCGCAUAACGUCGCAAGACCAAAGAGGGGGACCUUCGGGCCUCUUGCCAUCAGAUGUGCCAGAUGGGAUUAGCUUGUUGGUGAGGUAACGGCUCACCAAGGCGACGAUCCCUAGCUGGUCUGAGAGGAUGACCAGCCACACUGGAACUGAGACACGGUCCAGACUCCUACGGGAGGCAGCAGUGGGGAAUAUUGCACAAUGGGCGCAAGCCUGAUGCAGCCAUGCCGCGUGUAUGAAGAAGGCCUUCGGGUUGUAAAGUACUUUCAGCGGGGAGGAAGGUGUUGUGGUUAAUAACCGCAGCAAUUGACGUUACCCGCAGAAGAAGCACCGGCUAACUCCGUGCCAGCAGCCGCGGUAAUACGGAGGGUGCAAGCGUUAAUCGGAAUUACUGGGCGUAAAGCGCACGCAGGCGGUCUGUCAAGUCGGAUGUGAAAUCCCCGGGCUCAACCUGGGAACUGCAUUCGAAACUGGCAGGCUUGAGUCUUGUAGAGGGGGUAGAAUUCCAGGUGUAGCGGUGAAAUGCGUAGAGAUCUGGAGGAAUACCGGUGGCGAAGGCGGCCCCCUGGACAAAGACUGACGCUCAGGUGCGAAAGCGUGGGGAGCAAACAGGAUUAGAUACCCUGGUAGUCCACGCCGUAAACGAUGUCUACUUGGAGGUUGUGCCCUUGAGGCGUGGCUUCCGGAGCUAACGCGUUAAGUAGACCGCCUGGGGAGUACGGCCGCAAGGUUAAAACUCAAAUGAAUUGACGGGGGCCCGCACAAGCGGUGGAGCAUGUGGUUUAAUUCGAUGCAACGCGAAGAACCUUACCUGGUCUUGACAUCCACAGAAGAAUCCAGAGAUGGAUUUGUGCCUUCGGGAACUGUGAGACAGGUGCUGCAUGGCUGUCGUCAGCUCGUGUUGUGAAAUGUUGGGUUAAGUCCCGCAACGAGCGCAACCCUUAUCCUUUGUUGCCAGCGGUUAGGCCGGGAACUCAAAGGAGACUGCCAGUGAUAAACUGGAGGAAGGUGGGGAUGACGUCAAGUCAUCAUGGCCCUUACGACCAGGGCUACACACGUGCUACAAUGGCGCAUACAAAGAGAAGCGACCUCGCGAGAGCAAGCGGACCUCAUAAAGUGCGUCGUAGUCCGGAUUGGAGUCUGCAACUCGACUCCAUGAAGUCGGAAUCGCUAGUAAUCGUGGAUCAGAAUGCCACGGUGAAUACGUUCCCGGGCCUUGUACACACCGCCCGUCACACCAUGGGAGUGGGUUGCAAAAGAAGUAGGUAGCUUAACCUUCGGGAGGGCGCUUACCACUUUGUGAUUCAUGACUGGGGUGAAGUCGUAACAAGGUAACCGUAGGGGAACCUGCGGUUGGAUCACCUCCUUACCUUAAAGAA